CCUACGGGUGGCAGCAGUGGGGGAUAUUGCACAAUGGGGGAAACCCUGAUGCAGCGACGCCGCGUGAGUGAAGCAGUAUUUCGGUAUGUAAAGCUCUAUCAGCAGGGAAGAAAAUGACAGUACCUGACCAAGAAGCCCCGGCUAACUAAGUGCCAGCAGCCGCGGUACCACGGAGGAGGCAAGAGGUAUCCGGCUGUACUGGGUUUAAAGGGAGCGUAGACGGUUAUGUAAGUCUGGAGUGAAAGCACGGGGCCCAACCCCGGGACUGGUUUGGAACCGGUGUAAAGGGAGGACAGGAGGGGCAGGCGGCAUGCCGGGUGUAGCGGUGAAAUGCGUAGAUAUCAGGAGGAACCCCGGCGGCGAAGGCGGCCUGCUGGACUGAAACUGACGUUGAGGCUCGAAAGCGUGGGGAGCAAACAGGAUUAGAUACCCGAGUAGUC
RNAcentral lists this ribosomal RNA (440 nucleotides) under uncultured bacterium. Its description in RNAcentral is "partial 16S ribosomal RNA". It matches the Rfam family "Bacterial small subunit ribosomal RNA", at positions 338 to 795 of the family's 1533-position model. The record is from RNAcentral.